Molecule: transfer RNA, 75 nt
Filed under: Fidelibacterota bacterium
Lineage: Bacteria; Pseudomonadati; Fidelibacterota
Description: tRNA-Ala
Rfam family: tRNA (bases 6-65)
About the family: Transfer RNA (tRNA) molecules are approximately 80 nucleotides in length. Their secondary structure includes four short double-helical elements and three loops (D, anti-codon, and T loops).
Source: RNAcentral
GUCUGUAGCUCAGCUUGGUUAGAGCGCGUGGAUGGCAUUCAUGAGGUCACAGGUUCAAAUCCUGAGCAACGGUUA